GAUGAAGAACGUAGCGAAAUGCGAUAAGUAAUGUGAAUUGCAGAAUUCAGUGAAUCAUCGAAUCUUUGAACGCACCUUGCGCCUUUUGGUAUUCCGAAAGGCAUGCCUGUUUGAGUGUCAUGAAAUCUCAAUCCUCCUAGGUUUUUGACCUGGUUGGACUUGGACAUGGGCGUCUGCCAGCAAUGGCUCGCCUUAAAUGACUUAGUGGAACAUCCCACAUCAGUGUUAGACGUAAUAAGUUUCGUCUCUCCUUGUGGUGAUGACUGCUCAUAAUCUGCCAUCGCGCCCUUUUGACUUUGACCUCAAAUCAGGUAGGGCUACCCGCUGAACUUAAGCAUAUCAAUAAGCGGAGGA
Molecule: unclassified non-coding RNA, 354 nt
Filed under: soil metagenome
Description: partial contains 5.8S ribosomal RNA, internal transcribed spacer 2, and large subunit ribosomal RNA
Rfam family: 5.8S ribosomal RNA (bases 1-120)
Source: RNAcentral